RNAcentral lists this ribosomal RNA (495 nucleotides) under uncultured Rhodococcus sp. Its description in RNAcentral is "bacterial SSU rRNA". It matches the Rfam family "Bacterial small subunit ribosomal RNA", at positions 887 to 1382 of the family's 1533-position model. Lineage: Bacteria; Bacillati; Actinomycetota; Actinomycetes; Mycobacteriales; Nocardiaceae. The record is from RNAcentral.
GCCCGCUCAGAAACUUAAAGGAAUUGACGGGGGCCCGCACAAGCGGCGGAGCAUGUGGAUUAAUUCGAUGCAACGCGAAGAACCUUACCUGGGUUUGACAUACACCGGAAAACCGUAGAGAUACGGUCCCCCUUGUGGUCGGUGUACAGGUGGUGCAUGGCUGUCGUCAGCUCGUGCCGUGAGAUGUUGGGUUAAGUCCCGCAACGAGCGCAACCCUUGUCUUAUGUUGCCAGCACGUAAUGGUGGGGACUCGUAAGAGACUGCCGGGGUCAACUCGGAGGAAGGUGGGGACGACGUCAAGUCAUCAUGCCCCUUAUGUCCAGGGCUUCACACAUGCUACAAUGGCCAGUACAGAGGGCUGCGAGACCGUGAGGUGGAGCGAAUCCCUUAAAGCUGGUCUCAGUUCGGAUCGGGGUCUGCAACUCGACCCCGUGAAGUCGGAGUCGCUAGUAAUCGCAGAUCAGCAACGCUGCGGUGAAUACGUUCCCGGGCCUU